RNAcentral lists this long non-coding RNA (2545 nucleotides) under Chinchilla lanigera (long-tailed chinchilla). Its description in RNAcentral is "lncRNA (ENSCLAG00000027372.1)". Lineage: Eukaryota; Metazoa; Chordata; Mammalia; Rodentia; Chinchillidae. The record is from RNAcentral.
GCGCUCGCCUCGGGCACCCGGGGCUGCAGAGCGCGGCCGGCCGCGCGGUCCCGGAUCGCCGGGUCUGCCUGCCCUCUCACGGGGCCUUGCGGCCAGCAAUCGGAAGGUGCUGGGACUUGAGCGCCACUCGCCGCGCGCUCUGGUUAACAAGGGAGCCCCGGCGGGGAUGCGGGGCCGGAGGUGCCUGCCCGGUGGCCUGCGCCGGGCGAGCCCCUCUCCGCGGGCACCUCGGGGCCGCUCCACGGGUCGCACGUUCCGGGGCUUAGGCUUUCGGGGUCGCAGGCAGAUCCGGACUCCGCAGGGAACGGUUCCUUUCGUGAUAUGCGGGGCACUGUGGUCCACGAACGUCGGAUCCCCGGGAUCGCUCUCCGCGGCGCCCGGUGCGGGGCCGGCGUGGACAGAACAGGAGAGCCGGGCUUUGGCGGGAAGCGCGCGCACCUCCGCCCGGUCGCUUUGUACCUGGAGGCGGCUGCCCGGAGUUGGUGUUAACUUUCCUGCGCCCGCGGCGUCCCGGGCGUGCCCGGCAGGGGGCGCUGAGAGCGAGCGCUCGGAGCCCAGCGGCGCCGCUGCGCGCGGGGACCCGGGCGAGGUGCGGGUCCGCCGCGGGGGGUCGUGCGGUGACUUCCUGUGGGCGGUGCAGGUGGAGGGCGGAGGAGCCCGUGUGCUCCCCGUGGAGACCUGUUGGCCUUGCUGGAAGAGGAAGGAUGAUUUCUUCACUGUGUCUCAAGAGAAUGAAGCAAAGUUACAGUGCAGAGGCCGUUAAAACUUACUGACAAGGAGACUAAGACGAGGAUGAGGACUUUCUUGCAAGCUUUUCCAGAAGUUUGAGCAGCUUAUGGGCUUGUGAAGCUCCCAUCCAUGGAUUUGCUGUAUGAAGUUUUCCUUCAGAUUUGCUUUAACCUCCUCCUGGGGAGAGCGACUGUUAAAACCAGCAGACCUUUAUGUUGUGUACUAGUUGCUCAAAAUAGAUGCCAUCUCCUUGGGAACCGUGUCAGAUGGGCCUGGUGUCAGAGAGGAUGGCUUAUUUGAGCAAGUAUGUAGUUUUAAUGAAUUUGGUGAUUAUUUUUAAUGAUUCUGGAUUUCCUCUUUGGGGUCUUAAAGGCAUUACAGUUGAGGCUUUGUCCCUGAUUCAAGAAGAGGAAGAGCUUGCUGCUAAGUGUCCAGCCAGAUAGAAAGACUCUCGUUAGGUAAACAAGCGAUCAUGAGCUUCAGAGUCCUCAAAGAUUCUGAGGACAAGGGUUUGCGUUACAGAUCAUACGGUGUGCAAGACAGAACAAAUUAAUAAUUCUUAGUAAACCCCAGUCAAGUAAUCUCAUUACAGUAGUGCAUGUAAAACUAUUAAAGAAAAGCAUCCCUGCAGUCUGCAUUAAAUUCUCUAUGAUUCUUGAUUCUAAAAUUAUACCAAAUUUGUGUUUAAAAUGCUUCUGAAAUUGUUGCUAUAGUUACCUAGACAAAUUGCUUAGGAUAUAAUUGUAAUACCAAGGUGAAGAGUUUUUAUGUUUAGCAUUCAAUAAUGCUUAAAGUGUAAAUUACAGUGUCUAGCAAAUGUAGUUGCAACAAAAUGUAAAGUGUCUAAUAAGGAGCCUUGUACAAGUCCACUCACCUGUAUGUGUUUGCAGGUUUUUAUAAAGUUACCUAUUUUUUUAUGGAUCCCAAACUGAGUGCAUAUAAAUAUUUUAAGUUGUUUAUAUGGUUUUGAGGAAUGUUGCAGACAAAAUAGUCAUUUUCAAAUAUGUUCCCAGCAACUUCUCUAAAUUGAGAUGCAGACGUCUGUUGAAAAUGACUGGUUUUUGUCACUGCCCUGCCCAGCAGAAGUGAUCUGUUCUAGGGAGUGGGCAAGCUGUGGACUGGUCAUAUCACCAGAGAUCAGUUCAGCAGGUGAUGGCCAGUUCUUUGGAAAGCAGUUCACACAAACAGCCAUUGUUAUACUUUACGUAUCAUUUAUUUUACUGAUGAACUUUCCAGCCACUGGUCAACCAGAUGCACAAAAGCAAUUUCUGAUAGCAAGAAAGGAAGAAAAAGAUUAAGCUAGAGCUGCCUCAAAAUUUGUUUUAUUUAAAGUUUAAGCCAAACAGAGCAAACCAAGGGGAAAAAAACCCUUGAUACAAGAGAAGAUACUUGAUAAUGAGUAAUUUAUUUUGACAUACAGGUACUGACACAAUGUUUGCCAUCUGGGAGGUUCUAGCACUCAGGAAACCUGGCUGUCCAUUUCAUGGGGUAUUUUGACGCCAGGCAACUUCAAAGACCAUUUGUAUUUCACCUGGGGCAUGGCAUUUAAAGUAGGAUUAGUGGAACAGUGGGCUCAAAAAAACCACAUUUUCCCAAAGGAAUUGCUGUCAUCUUUCUUUUUCUUCUUCUUUUUUUAUCCAAGAUUAAUAGUUGUUUGACAAGAGCAAAGACGAGCGUAUUUUAUUUCCCUCUGCGAAGCUGUGAAAUGUACAGCCACGUACUUAGUGCUGAACAUGGAAAAGUAAAAUUAUUCCACUUUUACCCUUUCUCCACAUGGACUGGAAUUGCCUUUCUGAUUAACAAUGAAAAAAUAAAC